GAUGAAGAACGCAGCGAAAUGCGAUAAGUAAUGUGAAUUGCAGAAUUCAGUGAAUCAUCGAAUCUUUGAACGCACAUUGCGCCCUUUGGUAUUCCGAAGGGCAUGCCUGUUCGAGCGUCAUUAUCACCCCUCAAGCCCUCGGCUUGGUGUUGGAAGGUUUGGUGGAGGCCCCCUCGGGGGCUCCUGCCCCUCCCAAAGACAAUGACGGCGGCCUCGUUGGACCCCCGGUACACUGAGUUCUUCACGGGACACGUAUCGGACACAUGGGUUUACGGGACACGGUCUGCCUCCCCUCAGGGAGAAUCUUUCUAAGGUUGACCUCGGAUCAGGUAGGGAUACCCGCUGAACUUAAGCAUAUCAAUAAGCGGAGGA
This 372-nucleotide unclassified non-coding RNA is filed under the name soil metagenome. Its description in RNAcentral is "partial contains 5.8S ribosomal RNA, internal transcribed spacer 2, and large subunit ribosomal RNA". The stretch from base 1 to 120 matches the Rfam family "5.8S ribosomal RNA", at positions 35 to 154 of the family's 154-position model. The record is from RNAcentral.